UACGAAGGGGGCUAGCGUUGCUCGGAAUCACUGGGCGUAAAGCGCACGUAGGCGGACUCUUAAGUCGGUGGUGAAAUCCUGGAGCUCAACUCCAGAACUGCCUUCGAUACUGGAAAGCUCGAGUCCGGGAGAGGUGAGUGGAACUGCGAGUGUAGAGGUGAAAUUCGUAGAUAUUCGCAAGAACACCAGUGGCGAAGGCGGCUCACUGGCCCGGUACUGACGCUGAGGUGCGAAAGCGUGGGGAGCAAACAGG
Molecule: ribosomal RNA, 253 nt
Filed under: uncultured bacterium
Lineage: Bacteria
Description: partial 16S ribosomal RNA
Rfam family: Bacterial small subunit ribosomal RNA
Source: RNAcentral